AUCCAGCUGACGAGUUCCAAGUAGUACGAAACGCGUGUCUUGAAU
This is a non-coding RNA of Schistosoma rodhaini, 45 nucleotides long. NCBI's taxonomy places the organism in Eukaryota, Metazoa, Platyhelminthes, Trematoda, Strigeidida, Schistosomatidae. The record is from Rfam.